Molecule: transfer RNA, 77 nt
Filed under: Candidatus Bathyarchaeota archaeon
Lineage: Archaea; Thermoproteati; Candidatus Bathyarchaeota
Also listed under: 1 other name
Description: tRNA-Ile
Rfam family: tRNA
About the family: Transfer RNA (tRNA) molecules are approximately 80 nucleotides in length. Their secondary structure includes four short double-helical elements and three loops (D, anti-codon, and T loops).
Source: RNAcentral
GGGCCCGUAGCUCAGUCCGGUAGAGCGCCAGACUCAUAAUCUGUUGACCAGGAGUUCAAAUCUCCUCGGGCCCACCA